This 1244-nucleotide ribosomal RNA is filed under the name Potato phytoplasma. Its description in RNAcentral is "bacterial SSU rRNA". It matches the Rfam family "Bacterial small subunit ribosomal RNA", at positions 153 to 1399 of the family's 1533-position model. Lineage: Bacteria; Bacillati; Mycoplasmatota; Mollicutes; Acholeplasmatales; Acholeplasmataceae. The record is from RNAcentral.
GAAACGACUGCUAAGACUGGGUAGGAAGAUAAAAGGCAUCUUUUAUCUUUUAAAAGACCUAGUAAUAGGUAUGCUUUAGGAGGGGCUUGCGCCAUAUUAGUUAGUUGGUAAGGUAAUGGCCUACCAAGACGAUGAUGUGUAGCUGGACUGAGAGGUUGAACAGCCACAUUGGGACUGAGACACGGCCCAAACUCCUACGGGAGGCAGCAGUAGGGAAUUUUCGGCAAUGGAGGAAACUCUGACCGAACAACGCCGCGUGAAUGACGAAGUACUUCGGUAUGUAAAGUUCUUUUAUCAAGGAAGAAAAGCAAAUGGCGAACCAUUUGUUUGCCGGUACUUGAUGAAUAAGCCCCGGCUAAUUAUGUGCCAGCAGCCGCGGUAAGACAUAAGGGGCAAGUGUUAUCCGGAAUUAUUGGGCGUAAAGGGUGCGUAGGCGGUCUAGUAAGUCAGUGGUGUAAUGGCAACGCUUAACGUUGUCCGGCUAUUGAAACUGCUAAACUUGAGUUAGAUAGAGGCGAGUGGAAUUCCAUGUGUAGCGGUAAAAUGCGUAAAUAUAUGGAGGAACACCAGAGGCGUAGGCGGCUCGCUGGGUCUUAACUGACGCUGAGGCACGAAAGCGUGGGGAGCAAACAGGAUUAGAUACCCUGGUAGUCCACGCCGUAACGAUGAGUACUAAGUGUCGGGUAAACCGGUACUGAAGUUAACACAUUAAGUACUCCGCCUGAGUAGUACGUACGCAAGUAUGAAACUUAAAGAAUUGACGGGACUCCGCACAAGCGGUGGAUCAUGUUGUUUAAUUCGAAGAUACCCGAAAAACCUUACCAGGUCUUGACAUGUUUUUGCAAAAUGAUAGUAAUAUCGUGGAGGUUACCAGAAACACAGGUGGUGCAUGGUUGUCGUCAGCUCGUGUCGUGAGAUGUUAGGUUAAGUCCUAAAACGAGCGAAACCCUUAUCGUUAGUUGCCAGCACGUUAUGGUGGGGACUUUAACGAGACUGCCAAUGAUAAAUUGGAGGAAGGUGAGGAUCACGUCAAAUCAGCAUGCCCCUUAUGACCUGGGCUACAAACGUGAUACAAUGGCUGUUACAAAGGGUAGCUGAAACGCAAGUUCUUGGCCAAUCCCCAAAAACAGUCCCAGUCCGGAUUGAAGUCUGCAACUCGACUUCAUGAAGUUGGAAUCGCUAGUAAUCGCGAAUCAGCAUGUCGCGGUGAAUACGUUCGCGGGGUUUGUACACACCGCCCGUCA